AGUGAACGCUGGCGGUAGGCCUAACACAUGCAAGUCGAACGGCAGCACAGUAAGAGCUUGCUCUUACGGUUGGCGAGUGGCGGACGGGUGAGGAAUACAUCGGAAUCUACUUUUUCGUGGGGGAUAACGUAGGGAAACUUAUGCUAAUACCGCAUACGACCUACGGGUGAAAGCAGUGGAUCUUCGGACCUUUCGCGAUUGAAUGAGACGAUGUCGGAUUAGCUAGUUGGCGGGGUAAAGGCCCACCAAGGCGACGAUCCGUAGCUGGUCUGAGAGGAUGAUCAGCCACACUGGAACUGAGACACGGUCCAGACUCCUACGGGAGGCAGCAGUGGGGAAUAUUGGACAAUGGGCGCAAGCCUGAUCCAGCCAUACCGCGUGGGUGAAGAAGGCCUUCGGGUUGUAAAGCCCUUUUGUUGGGAAAGAAAAGCAGCAGGUUAAUACCCCGCUGUUCUGACGGUACCCAAAGAAUAAGCACCGGCUAACUUCGUG
This 492-nucleotide ribosomal RNA is filed under the name uncultured bacterium. RNAcentral describes it as "partial 16S ribosomal RNA". It matches the Rfam family "Bacterial small subunit ribosomal RNA", at positions 29 to 507 of the family's 1533-position model. The record is from RNAcentral.